Molecule: long non-coding RNA, 789 nt
Filed under: Homo sapiens (human)
Lineage: Eukaryota; Metazoa; Chordata; Mammalia; Primates; Hominidae
Description: non-protein coding lnc-PAPOLA-1:10
Source: RNAcentral
GUUCCUGCUCCGGCUCCUGCGGGGAUGGAUGCUUCACGCAGUAAGCGAGUAAGCGAGCCCUGGAGACCGGGGCCCUGGGUGUGCGGUCGGCUCAGUGCCACGCGGUGAGAUAGGCAUGGUUAUCAACCCACGCCAAGGCGGUUGUGUACCUGGCAUAGAAAACACUGCUGUUGAAUGUUGUUUCCAUAGUCAUUCGCCAGCGUCCACUGAUGAGAGGUGCCACCACGGACACCCGGCCUUGCUCCGUCGAAGCUUUGGUCCAUUAGGACCAAAGUCAGGCCCCAGCGGGCCUCCCUGCCAUUCCUGGACGGCCUCGCGUCCUCCCAGAGCCUGACCUUCUCUUAUCUCUGCAGCCUAAGUCGCGGAAGCGUAGACACCCGGCUUUUCCCGCGUGCUCUAUCGGGCUCCCCUGGACACGGAGGGUGGAGCAGAAAGAGCAGAGGGGCCGGUGGGAGCCAUGGGGAGUCCGCCUAGCUCCAGAGGACACCUUACCUGGAUCCGCCUUUGUAGCCUCCUCCUGGCUCUGGGGGCUGUCCUGUGGGGUCCGAGUAGCUGAAAGACAGCCCCUCCAUGUGAGGAAGCCCCCAACUGGGGAAAACCCCCUCGUGGACUCAUUCCUGUCCCUGCAUGUGGCCUUCACCUGACUGUCUGCAUUGAGGCAUCCUCUGCCAAGAGCAAUUUCAAAGUGGCAGGAAAGUGCUGCUUUCAACAUCUGCCACAUUUGCAAGAAGAGCAAAGGUGGCCCAUUUGAGACCACCCUUGAACUAAACCAUCCAGUGAGCCCCUGAG